Molecule: ribosomal RNA, 600 nt
Filed under: Bacillus sp. YIM C585
Lineage: Bacteria; Bacillati; Bacillota; Bacilli; Caryophanales; Bacillaceae
Description: bacterial SSU rRNA
Rfam family: Bacterial small subunit ribosomal RNA
Source: RNAcentral
CCUGCCUAAUACAUGCAAGUCGAGCGGAUUGAUGGGAGCUUGCUCCCUGAAAUCAGCGGCGGACGGGUGAGUAACACGUGGGUAACCUGCCUGUAAGACUGGGAUAACUCCGGGAAACCGGGGCUAAUACCGGAUAUUUCUUUUCCUCGCAUGAGGAAAAGUGGAAAGGUGGCUUUUAGCUACCACUUACAGAUGGACCCGCGGCGCAUUAGCUAGUUGGUGAGGUAACGGCUCACCAAGGCAACGAUGCGUAGCCGACCUGAGAGGGUGAUCGGCCACACUGGGACUGAGACACGGCCCANACUCCUACGGGAGGCAGCAGUAGGGAAUCUUCCGCAAUGGACGAAAGUCUGACGGAGCAACGCCGCGUGAGUGAUGAAGGUUUUCGGAUCGUAAAGCUCUGUUGUUAGGGAAGAACAAGUGCCGUUCGAAUAGGUCGGCACCUUGACGGUACCUAACCAGAAAGCCACGGCUAACUACGUGCCAGCAGCCGCGGUAAUACGUAGGUGGCAAGCGUUGUCCGGAAUUAUUGGGCGUAAAGCGCGCGCAGGCGGUCUCUUAAGUCUGAUGUGAAAGCCCACGGNUCAACCGUGGAGGGUC